This is a small nucleolar RNA of Protopterus annectens (West African lungfish), 124 nucleotides long. RefSeq annotates it as small nucleolar RNA SNORD22. NCBI's taxonomy places the organism in Eukaryota, Metazoa, Chordata, Ceratodontiformes, Protopteridae. The transcript has a single exon. The record is from RefSeq and is a predicted model, not a curated record.
UCCCAAUGAUGAAAUAAGUUAUCUUACAUGCUGAGUUGGUUCCAGAGCCUGUAAAGGUGAACCCACUGGUCCCACCAGUGUGAAAUGAGGAUAACUGGUUCAAAACAGAACUGUCUGAUGGGAU